CUGUCGUCAGCUCGUGUCGUGAGAUGUUGGGUUAAGUCCCGCAACGAGCGCAACCCUCGUUCCAUGUUGCCAGCACGUAGUGGUGGGGACUCAUGGGAGACUGCCGGGGUCAACUCGGAGGAAGGUGGGGACGACGUCAAAUCAUCAUGCCCCUUAUGUCUUGGGCUUCACGCAUGCUACAAUGGCCGGUACAAUGGGUUGCGAUACUGUGAGGUGGAGCUAAUCCCAAAAAGCCGGUCUCAGUUCGGAUUGGGGUCUGCAACUCGACCCCAUGAAGUCGGAGUCGCUAGUAAUCGCAGAUCAGCAACGCUGCGGUGAAUACGUUCCCGGGCCUUGUACACUCCGCCGUCGACGCGGCC
This 359-nucleotide ribosomal RNA is filed under the name uncultured Micrococcus sp. Its description in RNAcentral is "bacterial SSU rRNA". It matches the Rfam family "Bacterial small subunit ribosomal RNA", at positions 1049 to 1406 of the family's 1533-position model. Lineage: Bacteria; Bacillati; Actinomycetota; Actinomycetes; Micrococcales; Micrococcaceae. The record is from RNAcentral.